UGGGGAAUAUUGCACAAUGGGGGAAACCCUGAUGCAGCGACGCCGCGUGCGGGAUGAAGGCCUUCGGGUUGUAAACCGCUUUCAGCAGGGACGAAAUUGACGGUACCUGCAGAAGAAGCACCGGCUAACUACGUGCCAGCAGCCGCGGUAAUACGUAGGGUGCAAGCGUUGUCCGGAAUUAUUGGGCGUAAAGAGUUCGUAGGCGGUUUGUCGCGUCCGUUGUGAAAGCUUGGGGCUCAACCCCAAGUCUGCAGUGGAUACGGGCAGACUAGAGUCAGGUAGGGGAGAACGGAAUUCCUGGUGUAGCGGUGAAAUGCGCAGAUAUCAGGAGGAACACCGGUGGCGAAGGCGGUUCUCUGGGCCUGUACUGACGCUGAGGAACGAAAGCGUGGGGAGCGAACA
Molecule: ribosomal RNA, 402 nt
Filed under: uncultured Actinocorallia sp.
Lineage: Bacteria; Bacillati; Actinomycetota; Actinomycetes; Streptosporangiales; Thermomonosporaceae
Description: bacterial SSU rRNA
Rfam family: Bacterial small subunit ribosomal RNA
Source: RNAcentral